CCCGAGACUUCCAGCCUGUGCGCGUUCGGCUGUCCUUACUCCUCACUCCUUACAUAUUCAAAUAUCAGAACCAGCGGCAGCAAGCAACCAAGACAGAGAAAGGGAGCGAGACUGCGAGAGAGAGAGAGAGAGAGAGAUUUCCUGCUGCGAUUUAGGGAUUUUUUGAGAAAUGGAAUGGCAAGCAUCUCCGGACGAAUACGAGAAGCUUGUGAUCCGGAUGAAUACACCGAGGGUCGUCAUCGAUAAUACGGUUUGCGCCACGGCAACUCUGGUUAAGGUCGAUAGUGCGAGGAGAGAUGUGAUACUUCUUGAGGCCGUGCAGGUGCUCACCGACCUCGAUCUGUCGAUAAGAAAGGCAUACAUCUCUUCCGACGGCUGCUGGUUCAUGAACGUUUUCCAUGUUACUGACAGAUACGGCCAGAAAGUCACCGACAAGCGCGUCAUAGCUUAUAUUGAGCGUUCUCUAGGCACCGAAGAAGACGACUUCACCACCGGAUCUCGAGACAUCGAGGCCUUCACGACCCUAGAGCUCGUCGGCACCGACCGCCCUGGACUCCUCUCUGAGAUCUUUGCCGUCCUCGCUAACCUCGGUUGCAGCAUCGUGGAGGCGAAGCUCUGGGCUUACAAAGGCAGCAUCGCCGGCCUCCUUUUCGUUGAGGAGGAGGACUCCGGCUUACCAAUCGAGGACUCCGACAAGAUUCGUCAUAUCCAGGCUCGCCUCGGGUACGUCGUCCGUGGAUCCACCACCGCCUUGUCGUCUUCCUCAGCCUCCUACGUCUUCCGUGGCACAAACGCCGAUCGCCGCAUACAUCAGCUGAUGUUCGCCGAUCGCGACUACGAGCGAGCCGUGGCCUCCGGAGAACCAUCCGUUUCCGUUCAGAACUGGACGGAACGGGGCUAUUCCAUCGUCAACGUUCAGUGCAGCGACCGCCCGAAGCUCCUUUUCGACGUCCUGUGCACAAUCACGGACAUGGGAUACGUCAUUUUCCACGGCACGAUCGACACCACUGGCGAUCAUGCCUACCAAGAAUUCUACAUGCGGCACUCGGAUGGGAGCCCGAUUUGCUCCGAAGCGGAGCGGCAGAGAGUGGUCCAGUGCUUGCAAGCAGCCAUCGAGCGCAGAGCAUCCGAGGGUUUGAGAUUGGAGCUUUGCUCGGCGGAUCCGCUGACUGUAGCCGAGGCAACUAGAACUUUCAGGGAGAACGGUCUAACGGUGACAAGAGCAGAGAUGUCGACGAAAGGAGAGACGGCAGUAAACGUCUUCUACGUGACCGACGCCGGCGGCCACCUGCCCGGCCGAAAGACGAUAGAAGCUGUCAUGGAACGCUUCGGCGACGACUGCCUCAAGGCCUGCGAAGACCGGCCAUUGCGAACCGGGAAGAUGAAGUCCGGUUCGGACCGGGACGAACCGUCGUCCGGUAGCGGGGGGUUGCUGCGCCUGGGCAGCUUGGUGAUGCGGAAUCUAAGCAAUCUGGGCCUCAUCAGGUCCUCAUAAUGAAACCGCCGAACUGAUUGCUCGCAUAGUUGUAUGAAAAGAAUGGAUAAAGCCCAUUUGUACUGAAUGUAUAGUUAAAGAAAAAUACAUAGAUAGAAAGAAAAUAUGAUGAAUAUACUUUAUAGAAUAUGAGAGAUUAUUCUGUGCGAAAACCUGAUAUUUAGAGACGAAUCAGGUGUAGCCAUGUCAUCUAGUACCGAGCGAACCGAGCAGGGUAUCGAGCUCGGUACAGAGCAGUACCAAGCCGCAGUACUGAGUAUGGGUGAUGUGGCACAUUUUUAUUGGGCUCUGGACGACAUUCGGCAUACGCACAGAAUAAUUUUUCGUAGAAUAGAGUGUCUUGUAAAAUAUUUUCUAUUUAGUUCUUUACAUAAAAUGUUGAAAUUUGUGGUUAGAAUUGAAUGAUAGAUUAAGGCUUUCUUUGUGAUAGCUUUUUUUUA
Molecule: RNA transcript, 1935 nt
Organism: Dendrobium catenatum
Lineage: Eukaryota; Viridiplantae; Streptophyta; Magnoliopsida; Asparagales; Orchidaceae
Gene name: ACT domain-containing protein ACR8
Exons: 6
Source: RefSeq, a predicted model, not a curated record